GAUCUUUAUUUUUGUAUUUUAUAAUUUUUUAAGGAUUUUUUUAAUUAUAAAUUUAUUAAAAAUUUUACUGGGGUGGUAUAAAAAUUUAAUUAACUUUUAAUUUUAAUUAACAUUAAUUUAUGAAUAAUUGAUCCAAUAAUAUUGAUUAAAAAUUUAAGUUACCUUAGGGAUAACAGCGUAAUUUUUUUUUAGAGUUCAUAUCGACAAAAAAGAUUGC
This 217-nucleotide ribosomal RNA is filed under the name Toxorhynchites guadeloupensis. Its description in RNAcentral is "partial 16S ribosomal RNA". Lineage: Eukaryota; Metazoa; Arthropoda; Insecta; Diptera; Culicidae. The record is from RNAcentral.